Long non-coding RNA from Homarus americanus (American lobster), 430 nucleotides. RefSeq lists it as uncharacterized. NCBI's taxonomy places the organism in Eukaryota, Metazoa, Arthropoda, Malacostraca, Decapoda, Nephropidae. The transcript has 5 exons. The record is from RefSeq and is a predicted model, not a curated record.
AGUCAACUCUUCGCGUUGUGUGGGACUGGUGUUGUCGUCGGUGUUCACAUGGAAUACUUCAUUCUCUAUAACUGAGCUUUUAAAGUUCAUUGACUGAUAAUGUUGUUAACAGGAGACAAGUUUUAAAAGUUGUGGAAUUCUGAAAACAAAGGAGAUCAGUUGAUCCCUUGCCAAGAUGAUGGCGGACGUGGACCCGGAGACACUGCUGGAAUGGCUGCAGAUGGGCCAGGGCGAGGAGCGGGACAUGCAACUCAUUGCCUUGGAGCAACUGUGUAUGCUCCUCCUUAUGUCCGAUAAUGUGGACAGAUGCUUCGAAAGGUAAGGAGCCAGUAGCCAGGGGUCCUGAUUGUCUUCCUCUCCGGGUGUUCAUGUAUUGUGAGGCUGUGGCGUGGAGGUGUGAGGUUCUGUGCUGAGGGGUGAGGUACAGUGU